UGGGGAAUAUUGGACAAUGGGGGAAACCCUGAUCCAGCAAUGCCGCGUGAGUGAUGAAGGCCUUAGGGUUGUAAAGCUCUUUUGCCCGGGAAGAUAAUGACUGUACCGGGAGAAUAAGACCCGGCUAACCCCGUGCCAGCAGCCGCGGUAAUACGGAGGGGGCUAGCGUUGUUCGGAAUGACUGGGCGUAAAGCGCACGUAGGCGGCUUUGUAAGUUAGAGGUGAAAGCCCGGGGCUCAACCCCGGAACUGCCUUUAAGACUGCAUCGCUUGAACGUCGGAGAGGUGAGUGGAAUUCCGAGUGUAGAGGUGAAAUUCGUAGAUAUUCGGAAGAACACCAGUGGCGAAGGCGGCUCACUGGACGACUGUUGACGCUGAGGUGCGAAAGCGUGGGGAGCAAA
RNAcentral lists this ribosomal RNA (400 nucleotides) under uncultured bacterium. Its description in RNAcentral is "bacterial SSU rRNA". It matches the Rfam family "Bacterial small subunit ribosomal RNA", at positions 355 to 772 of the family's 1533-position model. The record is from RNAcentral.